Molecule: long non-coding RNA, 1479 nt
Filed under: Populus trichocarpa (black cottonwood)
Lineage: Eukaryota; Viridiplantae; Streptophyta; Magnoliopsida; Malpighiales; Salicaceae
Description: long non-coding RNA (PTRI_LNC002990)
Source: RNAcentral
AUUGUGUUGCUGAAUUUUUACUAGUAGUUGCAGAUGCACACUUAUACAUGCCUUUGUAGUCUAUGUUUCCAUUAGCACACAACAAAUACGUAAGCUAUAUUGAGUAGAGUCAUCUUGUCUUUCAUGGAUUUUCCUCUUGUUGGAAUGAGCAAGCGUUUGCUGUCUGGUUGUAAAUGAUGUGUUGUUGAAGUUUUGGUUGUUUAUGUGCUUAUCGACGGUCUUGUGCUGGCUCGUUGAAUUCCACCAGCACAUAACAUAUUCGUAAGCUACAUUAAUGAACCCACCUUGUCUUUCAGUUCUCCUGUCUGUGAGGAAAGCUUUCAACGGUGCGGUGUACAUAAUAAAUCUUAUAUCCACUGUCAUGUUGUUAAUGCGUGUGAUUAUAUUUCGUGCAAUGCAUGUAUUUGUGCACUGGUGGAAUUUGGUUGCAUUUUUUUAUGCUGAUCAAUCAAGGAUGUAGUUGAAGUUGAAUUUGAUUAGAUGCUUUGUCAUCUGCACACAACAAAUACAUAAGCUAUAUUGAGUAGAGCCAUCUUGUCUUUCAUGUUUUUUCCUCCUGUUGGAAUGAGUAAUGACAACCCAUGAUAUGGCAGAUGUUUUGUUGUCUGUGGUUGUAAAUGAUGUGUUGUUGAAGUUUUGGUUGUUUAUGUGCUUAUCGACGGUCUUGUGCUGGCUCGUUGAAUUCCACCAGCACAUAACAUAUUCGUAAGCUACAUUAAUGAACCCAUCUUGUCUUUCAGCUCUCCUGUCUUUGUGAGGAAAGCUUUCAACGGUGCGGUGUACAUCAUAAAUCUUAUAGCCACUUUCAUGUUGUUAAUGUGUAUGAUUAUAUUUCGUGCAAUGCAUGUAUUUGUGCAUAGGUGGAAUUUGGUUGCAUUUUUUUUAUGCUGAUCAAUCAAGGAUGUAGUUAAAGUUGAAUUUGAUUAGAUGCCUUUUCAUUUGCACACAACAAAUACAUAAGCUAUAUUGAGUAGAGCCAUCUUGUCUUUCAUGGUUUUUCCUCUUGUUGGAAUGAGGAAUGACAACCCAUUAUAUGGCAGAUGUUUUGUUGUCUGUGGUUGUAAAUGUUGUGUGGUUGAAGUUUUGGUUGUUUAUGUGCUUAUCGACGGUCUUGUGCUGGUUAGUUGAAUUCCACCAGCACAUAACAUAUUCGUAAGCUACAUUAAUGAACCCACCUUGUCUUUCAGUUCUCCUGUCUUUGUGAGGAAAGCUUUCAACAGUGCGGUGUACAUCAUCAUAAAUCUUAUAUCCACUGUCCUGCUGUUAAUGCAUAUGAUUAUAUUUCGUGCAAUGCAUGUAUUUGUGCUUACAUUGAAUUUGGCUGUGUUAUCAUUUAUGCUGAUCAAUUAAGGAUGUAAUUAAAGUUGAAUUGGAAUGAUGUAUAUAAAAAACAACCUGCUCAUGUGCUGUCUGUCACCCAGGAGACAUUUUCCGUCGUUCUAUCUUAAAUAUUUUGGGCAUUUCAUUUUUAUCAUGUCA